This 9836-nucleotide long non-coding RNA is filed under the name Heterocephalus glaber (naked mole-rat). RNAcentral's name for it is "lncRNA (ENSHGLG00000036889.1)". The record is from RNAcentral. Lineage: Eukaryota; Metazoa; Chordata; Mammalia; Rodentia; Bathyergidae.
GGCCCGGUUACCACCGGAUGUGGAAGUUGAUCUCUUCGCUGGUAAAAAAUAAUUCCACUUCCCCCGGAACCCAGAUCAUCCCCGCGAUUUCCUGUUUAUUGCAUUAAGGCGCUGGGUUUCCGGGGCUCCCGGACCCGCGGAUUCCGCGGGGGUCGGUGGGGUCGGCCGGGCGCCCGCUUCCCCCCCAUGCCGCCGCCGCCGCGCUUUGUCCCCGGCCCCGCGCGGUACAUGGAGGCCGCAGACAUGGAGGCGGCCGCGCCCGGGGUCGGGGCUGGGCCGGGCCAGGAUCGGCGCCGGAGGCGGGAGACGCCCGGGCCGGGACGGAGCCUCGCGGCCCGCCUCGGCCUUUGUCUGGCUCCUGCAAGCGGGUGGCCCGGGGGGCCCGGCGUCCGCGAUCGCGCAGCCUCCCCGAGACCUCGCUCGGGACCUGGGGCGCUCGGAGCGCGGACGCCGCCGGCCCCUCGCCCACUGGGACUCCUGGUGCGCCCGGUGCGCGUCGCCGGGCCCGCAGCCGCGGAUCGCGCGCCGGCCUCCGAGGUGACCGUGGAGCCCCCGCCCGGAGGCGCGGCCUCCUGAUGUGCCUGGCCCAGCUCGGUCCGCCCCGUGCCCGUGGUUGCGUCUGUCGGACGGAGCUCUGCUUGGGCCCGGGCCGCGGCUCUUCCGAAGGGGGCUGCGUGAUGGGCAAUUUUGAGUUUUGUCCCUGGACUCUGGUUUGCUGUCUCAAUUCAGGCAAGUUAUUUUCUGAAAAGUUAUUUUAUUUUGAAAAAAAGAUCUAAUGGAAUUUGUCGGUGAUUCCUACAAAGCAAUUUUGGCACCCAGAGUUGAAACCACCCUAAGUUAUUUUGUUGCAGGCAAUGGUGACAAAGUCUCACCUGCUCGUAGUUUAUCUUAUGUAAGGGUCACCAGCUUGGUUUAGGUUUUUCCUUUUUUUCUUUUCUCUUAGACAAGUUCUUGCUGUUUAGUCCAGGCUGGGCUUGAACUUGCAAUUCUCCUGCCUCAGCCUGCUGGGAUUCUAGGCGGGGUCGCUCGCUACUCCACCUUUGGUGUAAAAUUUUUGCUGACAGAUUUCGACAUUUCCACUCUCAGGCACAGACUUUGAAUUUAAGGAAACUAAAGACCCCUUUAUCUCUUUUUCUUCUAAGUAUUUUUUCAAAAACAAAAAAUAUCGAGCACACGUGAAUACAAAUGACAAGAGUGAGAUUGUUUUUUAUUUCUGCAAAUCUUUUGAAUGCGUGGUUUGAUACAAUACAGCCAGAUUCUUAAACCUACUUCUGCAUUGGUCUCUUGUAGUGUCACACCAUGCCACCUCUGGAAAACUCCACGGUACCCUUGUACUUUGUUUUAAGUGAACAACCAUGUCAUCCUCUGUUUUCAGCAUGUAGGUCAAGUCGGGGUAUUAUGCAAGACAUACUUUAAAAGUACAGAUAAGAAUGAUUACUACACAUUUUCCUUGGACUCUUACAUUUUUUUUUUUUAAUGGGAUUUAGAACCAGGUGUGGUGGUGCAUGCCUGUAAUACCAGCCCUCUGGAAUCUGAGGCAGAGUUCCAGCCCAGCCUGGACAGUUCAGCAACCUGGUGAGACCCUGUCAAAAACAUUUUUUUAGAAAGGGCUGGGGUGUAGCUCAGUGUGAAGGCCCUUUGUUCAGUUCCUAGUACUGAAAGAAAAAAUUGGGAUUUAGUUGUAUAAGCAAUACUUCAGAUAGAUAAAGUUCCAUAAUCUAUGUACCUGGAGACUCAGGAAUGUUUAGAAAUAUUCUAAGUGAUUAAACUUAAUUUUAAUUUCAUUAAUGAUAUACACAAAACAUGACUUCCAUGUGAGAUUUGCUUGUGAAAAUUUGUGUGUAAGGGUAAUCAAAACACUGUAAGAACUCUAGAGAAGUUCUACAAUGAAACCUUUGGUAAAAUGAGAUAGUUUGACACACACACCCUUACAGAGUUCUUAAUGUCUGGAUGAAUCUGAAUUUGUUGGGUGAAUGACAAAUUACACGGGAGUGUGUAAACUUUUAAGAUCACAUUUUGAUUUAAUAGUUUUGAAAGGAAGCCAAAUGUUUCCAGUUGUUUCUGUGAACUCUAGUCUGAAUCUGUCAGUCUGUAGUUCUCUCCUGUUUCAUCAACAGGAAGCAUCUGGUCAUUCUUUAUGUAAUUGUUAGAAAAUGCCAGGUGUAUUUUUAAUGUUUGCUGUUUGUGUGAAAAUAGAUUGGAUCUUGGUUAAUCUUACUUGAUGUUAGUUUAUGCAACCCAUCCCUUCCCGAGCAUUUUAACAGGUAAAGCAAACAUGUCAUUAGGAAUUUAGAAAAUGUUUUUUUUUUUUCUUGCGGUACUGUGCAUUCACACUGAGCUACAUCCCCAGCCAGCCCUUUUUAUUUGGAGACAGUGGUUUUGCUGUGUUGCCCCAGCUGAGCUCCGACUUGGGAUCCUAUUGUCUCAGCCUCCUGUGUAGCUGGGAAUUACAGGCGUGUGCCCCGAGCCUCAGCUGCUUCAUGACAUUUUGAAUCAUGAAUCCAUUUCUGAGGGUGCGUGAGACCCUUAUCUAGUUCCCCUUUUCGAGUUCCCCUUUGGAACAAGUGGCCUGAGUGCAGAUGCACUCACUGACCAUCUCUUUUCUCUCACUCGGCAAACACUGAAAAAGAAACCCAAACAAGAUGUUGUACUUUAAGAUAACUUGAUUUUCUUUUUUUGUGUGGUACUGGGGAUAGAACGGAGGACCUCAUGCCUGUCAGUGUAAGGAAGCACGCUACUACUGAGGCACAGUACUACCCAGCUCUUUUUAAGUUUAAUUUAGAGACUGGAUCUGCCCAUGCUGGCUGUGAACUUGCAGUCCUCUUACUUAGCUUCUCCAGUAGUGAGGGUAACAACAGGCUUGUGGCAGUGUGCCUGGCUGGUUUCGUUUUUUUUAAAUUGACAGAUAGUUGGCCAUAUUUUUCUGGUUCAGUAUGGUAAUUUUUUUGAUUAUCAGUGUGAAAUGAUCAAAUUAAGGUAAUUAGCAUUUCCAUCUCCUUAAACAUUUAUCAUUUCCUUAUUUUGGAAACCUUUGAACUCUUCUCAUUCUUUAUAACAUAUAUAAUAAAUUGUAAACUCCAAGCACCCUAUUGAGACAAGUUAAGUUUUUUAAUAUCAUUCCUUUGAUCUAUAAAUCAUCUAGUAAUCAUGUUUCUGGAGCACAAAUAUGUCUACUUUGGCAUAUAGUAAUAGCACUAUACUGUGCAUAACUUUAUUGAAGAUGCUUGUUGUGUCAUACUUUUUUGGGUUUUUUUAUGGUGGGAUGGAGCCCCCAGCUCUCAUCAUACUUAAAGAUAUUUCUGAUGCCAGACAAAGUUAGUGUUAGGGCCUCAGUAUCUUCUCCUUGCACUGUGGUGCUCUGCUGAUCAGCUGUCAGUUUAGUCUUUGCGGGAUAGUUCACCUUUAUUUGGGCUGAUUCAGUCCAUGACAUGAGUGGAGAGGUGUGAGCCUAGGCUUGAAAUGAUUUUGCCACUACAGAUAAACUCAUGUGCAGGGUCAUGGAUUCAGAUGUAGAAAUCCAAAACUCUUAGCCCUAGUUCUCUUACCUGUUAAUUAGGAAGAUUCUAAAGGCUGGCAAAUGCUAAUGCUCGGAUAGAGAAUGUAGAAAAAAAAGACUUGAUCAUUUUAACAUUUCAUGUGAAUCAGAUUUCGCUACUUUGUAAUUUUUUUAAGAAAUAAAAAGGUUAAGUGGUAGAACCGCAUAUACAAAGAACUGAGUGUUGGCCCCACUUUACUCUGUAUUGGUUGUGCCAGUGAUACUGUAUCAGCUUUUAUUGUAUCAGCAUACUCUCCGGGAGUGGGACUAUGUAUCUUUCCCCAAACUUGAUAUUACAGUAGAACCACCUGUAGAUUACUUAAACACAACAGCAACAAAACAGACGCCAGCUCUUAACUAGGCUAGGGCCUGGGUGUCCUUUGUUGAAGUUUCCAAGAUUGUAGACACUGAGUAUAAACAUUAAACUGUAGAGCACAGGCAGAGAAUCUUGACUGGGAGAAAUGGAGAUGAGGACGUACUGAACAUGGGUGUUUGACCCCAUGAAGAGCGGACAGCAGCUUUAAAUACUUGGAGGUUGGUCAGAAAGGCCAGGUUGGAUCUGACCAGAGAGAUGGAAUUAAAGGGUAGAAGUGGGAGUCAGAUUUCAAUAAUGCUCCGAGAGAAAUUUCCUUAAAAUUGCAGAAGUGAAAUGGGUUGUUUUGGGUGGUGGGCUGUGCCCAUUCCCUGACAGUGUCCAAGUUGGGGAUUCUAGGGUAGAAGAGCUGAUGUGCUGAAGGAGGAUUUGGGCUGUGUGUCCUUGGGUUCCCUACAAACUGAGAGUUCAUAAAAUAUGUCGAGGUUUGCAGAUAUUUAGAGGAAGAGCAAAACUAAUUGAAACAAUUGAGCUUAUUGGAUCAUAAUUUCCACCUUCUUGGAUAGAGAACAGUUUUGUUUUGUUUAAGACAGGGUCUCACUGUGUAAUCCCGGCUGGCCUUGAGCUCAUAAUCUUCCUGCCCCAGCCUCCUGAGUGCUGGCAUUACAGGCAUGUACCUAUACCCUGCUGAGAGAUGAGCAUUACGUGAGAGGGUUCUUUGAUGAAGAGCUUUAAAUUACACUGUAAUUUGGCAGACUUGAGCCUUAAAAAUGGACAUAACUUCUGACAUGGACAUUUCCAUUUAAAGGAAUUUAUCUUGAUGUCGUAAAGGUGUGCAUGAAGUUUUCGAUAGUAGCAUUGUUAUUAAUGGAGCUAUGUGUUGGAUGGAGUUGUAGCUCCUGCGUGGCAGAGCUUAGCGUGCACUAGACUUUGGACACCCCCCCCCCAACAACCAACCAAACAAAAAAACUGUUUACACCUUUAACCCCUGUAGUAAUCUUACAAACUGGUCGGUUAGUUGGCCCAUUUUUCAGAAGACAGUACUGAGGCAUAAAGAAAUGAGGGAGCGGACCUAAGGUAGCUAGGAUGUGCACCCGCCGUGUGAUGAAAGCCAGCAUUCCUGAUCACUACACUGUAAGCUUGUAAACACCUGAAUGUCCCCAGUGAGUGUUAGGGUGCAUCCCUAAAUGGGAUGAUUCUAACACCAUCCAUUAAAGUAAUGAUGUGAGAAGAAUGUAGACAUGAAAAGGUGUCUUGGUAUAUGUAAGUGAAAAAGUAGAUUUAAACCCAGGAUGUAUUUUGAUAAGUGAAAGAAUACAUGCUAAAUUGUCCUGAAAUUAUUUCCAAGUGUAAUUUUAUAAGGUGAUUAUUUUCUUUGUGCUUGUCCAAAUUUUCUAACUUUUACAGUGAAAGUGAAUUAUUGUGCAUUACUUACAAUUAAAAACAUCUUGAUGCUCCUAAUACAAAAUUAAAGAUACUCAUGGAAGCUGAGGAAUUUGGAUUUUACACUAUGCAAUUUAUGCAAGUGGAUUUGGAGAUUUGUAUAAAUGAGAAUUUGUAAGUGCAGGAAAUGUUGGGUUUUUUAAAAAAAGUUCGAUUCCUUACAUUUUAGAAGUAUACCUUAAUUGAAUAGAGAUAAAUAUCAGUGACUCCUACCACCUCCCUGACCAUAAUUAGUAGUUUUGUUUUCUUCAUCUCAUGUACUAUUUUAAAUAUUGUAUUAAUCCCACUUACUCUAUAUGAUGUUAGGCAGUUGACUUAAUCUCUUUGUGCUGUAGUUUUCUCCUGGAAAAUGGGGAUUAUUAUAAUACCUAUCUUGUCGUGAUGGGGAGGAUUAAUGAAUUAGUACACACUGUAUAAAGUAAUCAGAACAGUGCCUGACACAUAGUUAAUAGCUCAGCAAAUGCCAAUAAUUGUUGCUAUAGGAUCACAGUCCACUAAUCAAAAUCCUUGGAGUCUAAUAAUUUCAGAAUUAAUUUUUUGGAGCUGGGUAGUACGUAUACCUGUAAUCUCACUACUCUGGGCAGCUGAAGGAGGAGGAUGGAGAGUUGGAGCCGCGCCCCCUCCCCCAACCUAGUGAUUAGUGAGACCCUGUCGCAAAGAAAAAAAUAAAGACUGGAUUGUGUCCAGUGCAGUACUCUUCUUCAGUGGUUAUUAUGCCUGCAGUCAGAUGUGUGAACAGUUAGGCCAAAGGGGAUAGACUAUAAAUAGCUGCAUGUCAGUACAGGGCAGGUUUUACUACCAAAUGAAUGAUUUUGAGGCUCAGAUUUUUUUUUUUAGUUUUUAGAAUUGCAGAUAAGAAAUUAGAACAUUUAUUCAAGUUUGAGCCCCAUUUUUUUUUUCUUUUUUUCUUUUGGUACUGGGGAUCAAACUCAGGUCCUUGCGCGGUGGAACCACUGAGCUAAAUCCCUGGCCCUGAGCCCCAUUUUAUUUUCAUAUUAAAAGAUCUUUUUGUAGUUUGUGUAGCUUUAGUGCAUGGAUAAAAAAUAAUGGAAAGUGUCCACUUGUGCCUCCUUUGAUUAAAAAGUAAGUUGAAACUACUGCUUCUGAGCUUCCUAGGGCUUCACCGCUUCCUUCUUAGCUUAACUGCAGCUUCGCAGUAUUGAGCUUGGCUUCCCAGGGCGCCCCUGCCGUGUCGUUAAGUGUAGCACCUGCACGCACUGCUGCGGCGCUCACGGCCUUUGCUUUGCUCUGGUGUGAGUGUACUGUCCGGGCCUCCCUGUCUCCGCUUGCUCUCUCCUGUCUCCUGUGUCGUCUGUCUCACGCCUUGUGCCCACUUGAUCUCCCGGCAGUGCAGUCGUGGGUCUUCUGCUCUCUGCCCGCGUCUCCCCUUGGACAGGUUUGUUUUGCUCUGAUGACUCCCAGGUGUGUUCUGGUUUGUAGCUCAGGAGAUUUGUUGUGUGUUUCGACUGGAAGGCUGAAGGCAUUCCUGUCACCUUCACAUUUGUUACCUAGUCUCCGAUUGGCACCAGGCUUUCAGUUAGAUUCGCUGUUGGUGCCACCAUAUUUAAAUCUUGAGCUUGUCUGUGAUGCCUCUUUUUCCUUAGGCCCAUCAAUCAGGCAUAGUUUUUCUAACUUCAGAUUCUCCUUCCUUGAGUCUGUCCUUCAUGUGACUGCCGGGAUAAUUUUCCAGAAACUUUUGAACCCUUUGCUACCAAACUGAAAGCCCAAGGAGAGAGCAUGUGCUGUUGACCUUUGCCAUGAACUGAACCUGAGCUGAAUAAAUGUUUGAGUGGAUCUUCAUUUGCUCAAAACUUUGCCUUCUCCCAAUUCAAACUUUCAGGACUUGCAGGAUAAAGUCCGAAUUCUACUUUCUGACUUGCAGACCUUUUUGUUUGUUCUGCUUUUCCACCUUAUCCCUUAUUACUUCUUAACAUUACUGAGUUGGUUUCCUCUGUGGUAUAACUUGUGCUGCCUCUUUCCUUUUCCUUGCCUGCCUAAGCCCAUCCAGGAAUAUUUGCCCCGAGUUGGGUGUUGUUCCAAUCUCUGGUAUUAUAGCAAUGAACAAAUCAAGACAAAAUUCCUGUUUUCUUACCACUGACAUUUGCGGGGGGGACACAGUAAACAAAUAUGUUAGGCUGUCCUGAGCUUCCUGAGGAGGAACGGACUGAGAUAGAAGGCUGGAGUGGCGGCAUGUGGCUGCUGUGUAAGUGGUUAUCUGAGUAAGGAAAGAGCUUUUCUAGGCAGGAAAUGUGUUAGACCCCAAGGUGGCUCCAUGUUUGGCUUAGAAAAAUGCUAAAUUCAUGUGGCCAGAGUAGAGUGACCGAGGGUGAGGGCUCGGGCUGGGAGGCCAUGGGGAGCCAGAGGCACUUCACAUGUGAGGUCUCCCUGGGGAAGCUGUCCUUGACUGCGUCAUCUUGUUAAUUUAAACCUUUUUCAAAUAGCACCUGUAGAAGUAUCUUUCUUUUCUCUGUGCGGGGAUUGAACUCAGGUCCCUUUGCAUGCUAUGCAGAUACUCUAUGCCCAUCCAGCUAGAUUCCCAGCCCCCAAAUUAUUUUUAUAUUGUAACCCACAGUAGUUGUGGAUUAACUACUGAGCAACUUGGAACACCCAGCUGAACUGAGUCAGCGUGGUUCUGGGCGUGGAAGGCCCACCUGAGGAUUGUUGCCAAUGGCAGAAAGACCUGGAGGAAAUGAUUGUAUGCUGUUGAUUUUCUUGGAGAAGCUUGCCUGCUGGUUUUCCGGAUGCAAACUUGGCUUUUUUUCAUCAUCAGAGGAGCUCAAGGCCUCGCUGUCGCUGGGAAUGGCUGCUGUUCUCAGGGAAGCUCUGAUCUUCGCCUUGAGCAUUGCUUCCUGCUCCAUGCAGAUCCCUCAGCCUGGUGCCACAAACCCUUCACCCCUCUUGGGCAGACUUUGUGGCUUCCACCACUGGCCCUUGGGCCUUCCUGGGGCAGAUCCUCAGUGCAGACCUGCAUGAGAUAUUGCUGUGGGCCCUGGGCCUCUGGCUGGACUUGUGAGGGACAUUGGCGUGGGAUCCAGGCCCUCCAGUGGAUUCUUCUAGCACAUGGACAGAUCUGUGGCACUCCUCUGCAUUUGACUUUUUGGCCUUCCCAGGCCCUGGAAAACUCUCUUCUAGUGUCUGCUUCUUUGAUACCAUCCUUAGCUUCCGCCGGUAAGGGAGAGUGCGGUAGCUGUCUGUCUGCACCUGAAUUUCACUUGGUGUGAUGUCCUCUUGUCACAUGCAUGUUGCUGCAAGUAAGAGAGUUUCAUUCUUUUUCUUUAGUGCAUAAUGUUCUGCCGUGCAUCUACACCAGUUUCUUUAUCCACUCAUCAGCGAUGGGCAUCUGGGUGAUUCCAUGUGUUGGCUGUGGUGAGGAGUGCAGUAAGUGUGUGUACAGCUUUCUGGGACACGGGGGUUUCAUUUCCUUUGGGUGUGUGCGUAGCAGUGGGACUGCUGGGUUCUGCGGGAGUUGUGUUCCUAGUUUUUAAGGACUCCCCCUACUUUUGACUAUAACAGCUGUUAAUGACAUUCCCACUCACAGUGUAUGAGAAUUCUCCUUCCUCUUCAUCCUUUCCAGCAUUUGUUAUUUUUUUGUCUUUUUGAUAGUAGCCAUUCUGACCGGGUUGAGGUGAUAUCUCAUUGUGGUUUUGAUCUGCAUUUCCUUGAUUAUUAGUGAUAUUGAGGUUUUUUUCCUAUACUUAUUGGCCACUUGUCUGUUGUCUUUGAGAAAUGCCUGUCAGGUAAUUUUCCCAUUUUAAAAUCAGAUAAUGAACGUAUUUUUUCAUGUUGUAAAAUAUUUUUGUUUAAAAAUCCUGACUACAAUUUUUCAAAAGUUCAUAGUGUAUUUGUUUUGGCAACACAUAUACCAGAGUGGUAAUGUAGAAAGAGUGGGCUUGUUUACUUCAUUAAACAUUUAUGGAGUUGUAUGCUGGAAACAUCUAAAUACUAAAAUGCGUGUGAGAGAUCGUAUCUCGGCCUUUUGGCUAAGGUCAAGUGUAAAAUACGUGUGAGAAUAAGGUAAAUCCUGACUGACUCCUGAGGCUUACGUCUAGAUGGGAGAGGAGAGCUUGUGGUAUUACAAAUAACAUCAUUGUAACGUGAUGGAAUCCAUAUAAUAAUGGAAAUAUGGCCAGGGUACACUCAGGAUAGAGAGGUGAUUAAUUUUGGGGGUAAUGAAGGGAAACUUUUUGGAGGAGAUAAUGUCUGAACUGGGUUUUGGAAGGAGAAGAGUAACAUUUGGUUAUGUAAAUUGGAGUAAAGAAUUCUCAGGCAAAACAGCAUAUGAAAGAGUGGUGUCCUGAGGUAGAAUGGCCCUUAGGGUGCUCAUGGAUAACUGUGUCAGUGUAAACCCCUCCCCCGGGGGCGGGAGAGAUGAUGAGCCUGCCAAGAGGGACAAGCCAGGUCCCUAAAUGUCUGUGGUACGUUGGAGGUACCACUUUCAGUAAUGGUUGGGCGUGUGCGGUGAAAAUAAUGCAUAUUCAGAAUUACUGGUCGGAAAUUGCCACAUGGGAAGUAGAGAUACUAUCUCACAGUAAGUUCAAAAUAACC